GAGUUUGAUCCUGGCUCAGAGCGAACGCUGGCGGCACGCCUAACACAUGCAAGUCGAGCGAGAAAGUGACUUCGGUUGCGAGUAAAGCGGCGAACGGGUGAGUACAACGUGGAUAAUCUACCCUGAGGUUCGGGACAACCCCGAGAAAUCGGGGCUAAUACCGGAUAAGACCACAGUAUCCAAGGAUACAGCGGUAAAAGAUUUAUCGCCUCUGGAUGAGUCCACGCCCCAUCAGGUAGUUGGUAAGGUAAAGGCUUACCAAGCCUAAGACGGGUAGUCGGCCUUAGCGGGUGAACGGCCACAUGGGGACUGAGACACGGCCCUGACUCCUACGGGAGGCAGCAGUGGGGAAUAUUGGGCAAUGGGCGAAAGCCUGACCCAGCGAUGCCGUGUGAGGGAUGAAGGCCUUCGAGUUGUAAACCUCUUUUCUCAGGGAAGAGAGAGGACGUCACCUGAGGAAUAAGUCAUGGCUAACUACGUGCCAGCAGCAGCGGUAAUACGUAGGUGGCAAGCGUUGUCCGGAAUUACUGGGCGUAAAGGGUCCGUAGGCGGUUCGGUCAGUCUUCUGUGAAAGCUCCAGGCUCAACUUGGAGUCGUCGGGAGAAACUGCCGAACUAGAGACUGUCAGAGGCAGGUGGAAUUCCCGGUGUAGUGGUGAAAUACGUAGAUAUCGGGAGGAACACCAGUGGCGAAAGCGGCCUGCUGGGACAGUUCUGACGCUAAGGGACUAAAGCGUGGGGAGCGAACCGGAUUAGAUACCCUGGUAGUC
Molecule: ribosomal RNA, 769 nt
Filed under: uncultured delta proteobacterium
Lineage: Bacteria; Deltaproteobacteria
Also listed under: 1 other name
Description: bacterial SSU rRNA
Rfam family: Bacterial small subunit ribosomal RNA
Source: RNAcentral